Non-coding RNA from Gasterosteus aculeatus aculeatus (three-spined stickleback), 1353 nucleotides. NCBI's taxonomy places the organism in Eukaryota, Metazoa, Chordata, Actinopteri, Perciformes, Gasterosteidae. The record is from RefSeq and is a predicted model, not a curated record.
UCCACGGGUCCUGGAGAGCCACUCCUCAUAGGUGAACACGGACACCUCCUCUGUGGCCAGGUUACGCAGGACCACCUGCAAGCACAGAGUUAGCUGACAAAAAGUAUGAAUGCUCACUUAAUCAUGCUUACAAUAAAAACAAAGCUAACAUUUUGAUUUUAAAGGUAGAAUGUUUUCCACUUUGGAUCAACGUGUUGGUAAGAGAACAUUUAUUAAUUAGUGCACCUCAGGCUGAUGGAAACGUCCAAAAAUCAUGGACAAGUUAAAAAUGUUGACCUGAUGAUGGCGCUAGAAGGACAAUUAACCUUUUCAGCUUGAAUGUCUGCACCAAACGUUACGGUACUCCAUUCAAAUAGUUGAGAUAUCUCAGUCAGAUCCGAAGAGAUGGACCGACAUCCCAGCGUGGAUUAAAGAAGAGUUGAUAUGAAUGAAUAAAUGAUCACAUCAUGGACACACACCCUGCCUCCCCCAGGAUGUCUGAUGUCUGAUCACCGGUCCUGGGAAUCGUUUCAUUACAAGAUAAAGACUCAGCUCAGGCAGCCGCACUCGUAAUAACUCUCCACUCUGCAUAUUUAUUUGUGCAGAUUACUCUGCUGGCAGCCUGCCCGGUGCACUGUCGUGUCCUUUUCAAUACAUGCACCCGGCGAUCCAUGAAGGCAGCACAUCUGCUUGUGAUGCCGAACACACAGGGCUCUGUGCAGGGUCAAGUCAAGGAGAUGUUUCGCAGUCGCCGAGUCCCAGGCACGAGCGGACAGGGCCCGCUAUUGUUCCUGACUGCUGGGCUGCUCUGCAGGCAGUGGUGACUUCACCAGGGGAGACAUUUGCAUAGGAAAUGUGUUCUGUUUCCUCCAAACAUUUGGCCACAGACGUCAGACAGAAUUUGGAGGUGAGCGGCGGCAGUUGCACUUCCAAAGUCAUCGAAGGAGAAAAUAACUAGGUGUAUUAAUGGAGUUGAUUAUGUUGCUGGAAUAUUCAUUAAAAUUAGGGAUAUUUGCACAACCGCACACCAUUUCACUCUUAAGGAAAUUCAAAAUCUCUGAGUACUGACUACACCAACACGCUGUGCUCAUUGCUGCGUGUGCACGAGGGUGAUGGUGCCAGAACAAAGAGCGUGAUAUUUCUUGCAUCUAAACACGUUUAUCCUGGUGCCUACUUUACCCACAAUGCAACUGAACCACUGACUGAUUGUUGACUAGAGCUGCCUCAGGCAGAGAUGAGGAGGAGGCCACAGAGGUCAGGUGAUCUGACCUGAUCCAGGAACCAGUCGGGUCGACUGCCGGAGCCAUCGAUGCGAAGCCUCAUUUUCCUCAGUGGAGCGACGUCAUCGAUCUCCAUGUUGAAAGUGUCCUCCUG